GACGAACGCUGGCGGCAUGCCUAAUACAUGCAAGUCGAGCGAACAGAUGAAGUGCUUGCACUUCUGACGUUAGCGGCGAACGGGUGAGUAACACGUAAGGAAUCUACCUAUAAGCGGGGGAUAACAUUCGGAAACGGGUGCUAAUACCGCAUAAUAUCUUCUUCCGCAUGGAAGAAGAUUGAAAGACGGCUCUGCUGUCACUUAUAGAUGACCUUGCGGUGCAUUAGUUAGUUGGUGGGGUAACGGCCUACCAAGACGAUGAUGCAUAGCCGACCUGCGAGGGUGAUCGGCCACAUUGGGACUGAGACACGGCCCAAACUCCUACGGGAGGCAGCAGUAGGGAAUCUUCCGCAAUGGGCGAAAGCCUGACUGAGCAAGGCCGCGUGAGUGAAGAAGGCCUUCGGGUCGUAAAACUCUGUUAUAAGAGAAGAACAAAUUGUAGAGUAACUGCUACAGUCUUGACGGUAUCUUAUCAGAAAGCCACGGCUAACUACGUGCCAGCCGCCGCCGUAA
Molecule: ribosomal RNA, 513 nt
Filed under: uncultured bacterium
Lineage: Bacteria
Description: partial 16S ribosomal RNA
Rfam family: Bacterial small subunit ribosomal RNA
Source: RNAcentral